CAGAGGGUAGUUUAAAAUAAAAUGCUAGCUUUGGGAGUUAGUGAUGGGAGUUUAAGUCUCUUCUUUCUGA
This 70-nucleotide transfer RNA is filed under the name Merluccius merluccius (European hake). Its description in RNAcentral is "tRNA-Pro". It matches the Rfam family "tRNA". Rfam says of the family: Transfer RNA (tRNA) molecules are approximately 80 nucleotides in length. Their secondary structure includes four short double-helical elements and three loops (D, anti-codon, and T loops). Further hydrogen bonds mediate the characteristic L-shaped molecular structure. tRNAs have two regions of fundamental functional importance: the anti-codon, which is responsible for specific mRNA codon recognition, and the 3' end, to which the tRNAs corresponding amino acid is attached (by aminoacyl-tRNA synthetases). tRNAs cope with the degeneracy of the genetic code in two manners: having more than one tRNA (with a specific anti-codon) for a particular amino acid; and 'wobble' base-pairing, i.e. permitting non-standard base-pairing at the 3rd anti-codon position. Lineage: Eukaryota; Metazoa; Chordata; Actinopteri; Gadiformes; Merlucciidae. The record is from RNAcentral.